UUUUCAUGUCUCCAAUGCAUCUAUUUCAUGAAAUUACAGGUGCUAAACUGCUAAUGAGGUAAACUAGCAAUUGAGACAUAGCUGCUGCCCUUAUCCACAUGGUAGAUAUAAAAUAACAGUACUGUUGGUGUGAGAUAUUUCAGCAAAUUAAAAUUGGGGACAACUAAACCCAAUCACAACUUACAAAGCUUGAGAGAGAUAGAGAGGUUGAUGAUUCACAUUCAGAGUUGCAGAGUAUGGAAUGAGUAUAUAGAUCAAAGUUAAGUGAAGAAGAUGAAGAAACAUAAUUUGGAAAAAGGUGCUGGAAGAAGAUUCAGUAAUAAAUUAAAGUUGUCCGGGUUGUUGUUUCUAAAGACUCAGAAGAUGAGAAAGAAGAAAAAACAGACUGUUUAUUUAGAUGAUUACGGUACGAGUGGAAUCGGAAAAGUUAAUAAUCGGAUCAAGAGUGUUUUGAGUGAAGGUAUCUUUAAAUCGACCUUAAAGAAAAGUUGGGAUCUCCUCAUAAGUCUCACUUUCUGGAACAAGCUCUGGAAGAGGAUGACUGGUGCAAAGAAUUUCGAAAGACCAAAAUCCAGGUAGGAACGGCAGGUCGAUUGGAAACUCGUGUAUGACAAGCUUUUGGAGCAAAACAAUUCCAAAAACUAGGAGUGUAUGCUAGGAGUGCAACAAUCCCUCUAACCUUAGUUUGCAUCCCGAUCUCUCAUAUGUGGGCUUCAAUAGGAAAACUGCUUAGUUUCACAGGUCAAGACACUUUAAUCUCACUUGAAACGGGCAAAUAUGCGACAUGCUUGAUCCUUGGUUGUGCAACAAUCCCUCUAACCUUGUUUGCAUCUCGAUCUCUCUUAUGUGACCUUCUGUCAAGACCCUUUAAUCUCACUUGAAACGGGCAAAUAUGCGGCAUGCUUGAUCCUUGCAUUAUUCGCUUAUGCAGCUCUCCAGUCGUUAAUGAGAAAUUUUCAAUCUUAGUGUAGAAUCAUUCCCAUGCUAUUAAGUACUUCUAUAGCAGUAUGUAUCCGCAUACCUCUAUGUUGGGUUGUAGUUUAUAAAUCUGGUGGUGCUGCAGGUCAAUCAACUAAUAGAUGGAACUAUCAACUAGCAGGAAUGUACAUGAGAGUGCUAGUAAUGGUUUUUGAAGAGAACUAGUGUAACUGGUGGUCCUAUUUUUCGGAACUUACUUUUAUCAUUUUCAUAUGGGUUUUACCCAAGAACGGGAAGAUAAUCUCGCUUGCUGACCUGAAGGAUUUGUAGAUGAACGCUAUAAAAACGCUACCUUGUCUAUUGCCUGUGGAAUAUAUGAGAACUGGAAGCUAAAUGGAAAAGACAUCACUAUCCACCCCUCGAUACAAAUGAAAUGCCCCAGCAGAUAAACCAACCAUAAGGUACUUUCUGAUCGCCAUAUCAAGAGCAGAAGCCAUCAGAAAGCCAAACACACAAUGGGAGGAAAAACUUGUCGCUACAAACCUGAAAUGGCACGGAUGCAAAGUUACAAAAUCAGGAGUGGCAAGAGUUGUUGAACCCUUGGGCACGAUAAAAGAUGAGAACAGCUCCAAUUGCGGGAUGUUCGAAUUUCAGCCGCCUUUUGAUUAGGAAGAUUCCAGUGCAACGGCUUAGUGAAAGUGGAUGUUUACCAUACGAUGUUGGUGACACAGUUACUCAAAAAACAAUAUCAUGAGGAUACAUGUUAUUAAGAAGAGUGGGGUUCUUGAAUUUGUGCACAAAUUCCUGUUUGUCUGGUGUGCCUGCACUAGGGUCACAAGAAAGAAUCGAUACCUUACUAAUAUAGGAUAUCUGGCAUAAACAUGAGGGCUCAUCUAUGUUUCCACGGCCAAUUGUAAGAUGGUAGAAGUAAAGCUCCAAGCAGGAUCUUAAUUACCACACAUUUUUUGUUGUUUGCUAAAUGUUUGUAAACUUCCGGCUCAAACAGUUGAACAGGAAAGGCUAUGAAAUAUGGGUUUGUCUAGCCGGUGUACAAAAUCUGACUUGUUGAAUAGUAGCUUGUUUUAAGCCUUGUAUGCAAUAUAUAUAUCUAUUAUUAGCUUGCUG
Molecule: long non-coding RNA, 2043 nt
Organism: Papaver somniferum (opium poppy)
Lineage: Eukaryota; Viridiplantae; Streptophyta; Magnoliopsida; Ranunculales; Papaveraceae
Exons: 7
Source: RefSeq, a predicted model, not a curated record